GCGAACGGGUGAGUAACACGUGGGCAAUCUGCCCUGCACUCUGGGACAAGCCCUGGAAACGGGGUCUAAUACCGGAUAUGAGUUCCUUCCGCAUGGUGGGGACUGUAAAGCUCCGGCGGUGCAGGAUGAGCCCGCGGCCUAUCAGCUUGUUGGUGAGGUAAUGGCUCACCAAGGCGACGACGGGUAGCCGGCCUGAGAGGGCGACCGGCCACACUGGGACUGAGACACGGCCCAGACUCCUACGGGAGGCAGCAGUGGGGAAUAUUGCACAAUGGGCGAAAGCCUGAUGCAGCGACGCCGCGUGAGGGAUGACGGCCUUCGGGUUGUAAACCUCUUUCAGCAGGGAAGAAGCGAGAGUGACGGUACCUGCAGAAGAAGCGCCGGCUAACUACGUGCCAGCAGCCGCGGUAAUACGUAGGGCGCAAGCGUUGUCCGGAAUUAUUGGGCGUAAAGAGCUCGUAGGCGGCUUGUCGCGUCGGUUGUGAAAGCCCGGGGCUUAACCCCGGGUCUGCAGUCGAUACGGGC
RNAcentral lists this ribosomal RNA (525 nucleotides) under Streptomyces cinereospinus. Its description in RNAcentral is "bacterial SSU rRNA". It matches the Rfam family "Bacterial small subunit ribosomal RNA", at positions 98 to 637 of the family's 1533-position model. The record is from RNAcentral. Lineage: Bacteria; Bacillati; Actinomycetota; Actinomycetes; Kitasatosporales; Streptomycetaceae.